GCAAAAUAUGCUGCUGUGAAGAAACUUCAUAUAAUAAGGAUGAUCAUCUACAUAUACUGAACAUUACCAACGAGAGUAAAUGAUGAGUUUGGAGCUUCAGGGGAAAGUGCUUUCCUGGUUUUGAGUCUUCCGUGCAAAGUGAGUGAGUCUUUGAGUCAUCCGCUAUCAGAGUGUCCUGACAUAGAUGUCAUGUGUGAUAUUCCUGACAUAGAUGUCAUCGGAAUCUCCGGUAAACUUCUGUUCAGACAAGAAACCUGCAGUGUGAACUGGAUCGAGGGACGUGGCAAAUCAGUGGUUUGCGAGGCGGUAAUCAGAGAAGAGAUCAGGAACAAUAUAUGAGUGUACAUUAGUUAUUUAAACCUCUUUCAAAUCAGUGGUUUGCUUUUUAAUUAUUGUUUCUAUCUGAGUUACAAUAACAGCAUGACAUUAGUUAUUUACACCUCUUUCAAAGAUCUGGCUCUCUUCAUUAUUUGCUAUUGAAGAUUAUUGAUAGCC
Molecule: long non-coding RNA, 495 nt
Organism: Raphanus sativus (radish)
Lineage: Eukaryota; Viridiplantae; Streptophyta; Magnoliopsida; Brassicales; Brassicaceae
Exons: 2
Source: RefSeq, a predicted model, not a curated record